This 343-nucleotide unclassified non-coding RNA is filed under the name soil metagenome. Its description in RNAcentral is "partial contains 5.8S ribosomal RNA, internal transcribed spacer 2, and large subunit ribosomal RNA". The stretch from base 1 to 120 matches the Rfam family "5.8S ribosomal RNA", at positions 35 to 154 of the family's 154-position model. The record is from RNAcentral.
GAUGAAGAACGCAGCGAAAUGCGAUAAGUAAUGUGAAUUGCAGAAUCCAGUGAAUCAUCGAAUCUUUGAACGCACAUUGCGCCCGCCAGCAUUCUGGCGGGCAUGCCUGUUCGAGCGUCAUUUCAACCCUCGACCUCCCCUUGGGGAGGUCGGCGUUGGGGACCGGCAGCACACCGCCGGCCCUGAAAUGGAGUGGCGGCCCGUCUGCGGCGACCUCUGCGUAGUAAUACAGCUCGCACCGGAACCCCGACGCGGCCACGCCGUAAAACACCCGACUUCUGAACGUUGACCUCGAAUCAGGUAGGACUACCCGCUGAACUUAAGCAUAUCAAUAAGCGGAGGA